CACGCUGUAAACGAUGAAUACUAGGUGUGCGGGGACUGACCCCCUGCGUGCCGCAGUUAACACAAUAAGUAUUCCACCUGGGGAGUACGAUCGCAAGGUUGAAACUCAAAGGAAUUGACGGGGGCCCGCACAAGCGGUGGAGUAUGUGGUUUAAUUCGACGCAACGCGAAGAACCUUACCAAGGCUUGACAUUGAGUGAAAGGCUAAGAGAUUAGCCCCUCUCUUCGGAGACACGAAAACAGGUGG
This 246-nucleotide ribosomal RNA is filed under the name uncultured bacterium. RNAcentral's name for it is "partial 16S ribosomal RNA". It matches the Rfam family "Bacterial small subunit ribosomal RNA", at positions 796 to 1041 of the family's 1533-position model. The record is from RNAcentral.